GGUAUCAGAAGUGCGAAUGCUGACAUAAGUAACGAUAAAGCGGGUGAAAAGCCCGCUCGCCGGAAGACCAAGGGUUCCUGUCCAACGUUAAUCGGGGCAGGGUGAGUCGACCCCUAAGGCGAGGCCGAAAGGCGUAGUCGAUGGGAAACAGGUUAAUAUUCCUGUACUUGGUGUUACUGCGAAGGGGGGACGGAGAAGGCUAUGUUGGCCGGGCGACGGUUGUCCCGGUUUAAGCGUGUAGGCUGGUUUUCCAGGCAAAUCCGGAAAAUCAAGGCUGAGGCGUGAUGACGAGGCACUACGGUGCUGAAGCAACAAAUGCCCUGCUUCCAGGAAAAGCCUCUAAGCAUCAGGUAACAUCAAAUCGUACCCCAAACCGACACAGGUGGUCAGGUAGAGAAUACCAAGGCGCUUGAGAGAACUCGGGUGAAGGAACUAGGCAAAAUGGUGCCGUAACUUCGGGAGAAGGCACGCUGAUAUGUAGGUGAAGUCCCUCGCGGAUGGAGCUGAAAUCAGUCGAAGAUACCAGCUGGCUGCAACUGUUUAUUAAAAACACAGCACUGUGCAAACACGAAAGUGGACGUAUACGGUGUGACGCCUGCCCGGUGCCGGAAGGUUAAUUGAUGGGGUUAGCCGCAAGGCGAAGCUCUUGAUCGAAGCCCCGGUAAACGGCGGCCGUAACUAUAACGGUCCUAAGGUAGCGAAAUUCCUUGUCGGGUAAGUUCCGACCUGCACGAAUGGCGUAAUGAUGGCCAGGCUGUCUCCACCCGAGACUCAGUGAAAUUGAACUCGCUGUGAAGAUGCAGUGUACCCGCGGCAAGACGGAAAGACCCCGUGAACCUUUACUAUAGCUUGACACUGAACAUUGAGCCUUGAUGUGUAGGAUAGGUGGGAGGCUUAGAAGUGUGGACGCCAGUCUGCAUGGAGCCGACCUUGAAAUACCACCCUUUAAUGUUUGAUGUUCUAACGUUGACCCGUAAUCCGGGUUGCGGACAGUGUCUGGUGGGUAGUUUGACUGGGGCGGUCUCCUCCUAAAGAGUAACGGAGGAGCACGAAGGUUGGCUAAUCCUGGUCGGACAUCAGGAGGUUAGUGCAAUGGCAUAAGCCAGCUUGACUGCGAGCGUGACGGCGCGAGCAGGUGCGAAAGCAGGUCAUAGUGAUCCGGUGGUUCUGAAUGGAAGGGCCAUCGCUCAACGGAUAAAAGGUACUCCGGGGAUAACAGGCUGAUACCGCCCAAGAGUUCAUAUCGACGGCGGUGUUUGGCACCUCGAUGUCGGCUCAUCACAUCCUGGGGCUGAAGUAGGUCCCAAGGGUAUGGCUGUUCGCCAUUUAAAGUGGUACGCGAGCUGGGUUUAGAACGUCGUGAGACAGUUCGGUCCCUAUCUGCCGUGGGCGCUGGAGAACUGAGGGGGGCUGCUCCUAGUACGAGAGGACCGGAGUGGACGCAUCACUGGUGUUCGGGUUGUCAUGCCAAUGGCACUGCCCGGUAGCUAAAUGCGGAAGAGAUAAGUGCUGAAAGCAUCUAAGCACGAAACUUGCCCCGAGAUGAGUUCUCCCUGAC
RNAcentral lists this ribosomal RNA (1558 nucleotides) under Escherichia coli 320. Its description in RNAcentral is "bacterial LSU rRNA". It matches the Rfam family "Bacterial large subunit ribosomal RNA", at positions 1278 to 2819 of the family's 2925-position model. The record is from RNAcentral. Lineage: Bacteria; Pseudomonadati; Pseudomonadota; Gammaproteobacteria; Enterobacterales; Enterobacteriaceae.